Molecule: long non-coding RNA, 1040 nt
Filed under: Daucus carota (carrot)
Lineage: Eukaryota; Viridiplantae; Streptophyta; Magnoliopsida; Apiales; Apiaceae
Description: long non-coding RNA (DCAR_LNC001794)
Source: RNAcentral
UGAGAAACGCAACCUGCAAAUUAUAAGUUCGAUUGGGUUUAAGGGUUUGAUUAGUUCAAUUGGGUUUUAGGGUUCUUUUCCGAGUCUCCAUCUUCUUUUUCAAGGUAUCUUACUUUCUUAUAAAAAAGUUCAAUUAGUUUUGUGGUUCUUGUUCUUUACUUUUAUUCAAUCGUAGUUCUACAUCUACUAAUUAGAUGUGUCUACUUGAGUCCUGUCUUGUAUACAUAUAAUGUAAUUUUGUGUUUAAUCUGCAUUGGUUGUGUUGAUAUCAAUGUAGUUUUGAUAUUGUAUGGUUUGGAUUAUGUAGUUGGUUUCAAUAUUUGAUGAAUGAGAUAAUGUAUUUGACUGCUUGAAUGCAUGUUUAUAUUUUGGUUUUCAGUUUUGAUAUAUUGCUCUUCAGUUUUGGUAUAUUGGUUUUGGUAAUAUCAGUGUUUUGGUUUUGGUAUUUUGGCGGAUUACAAAGCAGGUGAUUCAUGGCUAAAAUUUAAAUCAGAAAACAAAAGAACUGAUGUCUAACAGGACAACAGACAUCGGUCAUCUUAAAAGAAACUGAGGUCUAACUCGGUAAAACAAAUUAGGCACUAAAAAGAAAUGAUGUGAUAGAGUCAUAUAGACAUCAUAAAUUAUAAAGAACUGAUGUCAUAACAUGGAAAGCACAUCAUGUUCACUAAUGCAUCGAUGUUAAAGCUAUAAAAGAACAUCAGUACCUCCAACAAACUGAUGUUAAAUGGACAAGUGGACAUCGGGGUUUUUAAAAUAACUGAUGUCCAUGCCUUAUUUUCUUUCACAUGUCAUACAUUUAAGAUGAUAUAAAUAGCAUAUCAAAGCUAUAUUCAAAUGAUAAUCAUGGUAAUUUAUGGUGAUUUUGAUGCAAAGACAUCGGGUUUUUAUAAGGAAUCGAUGUCUAAGAUGCUCGUAGACAUCGGCUAAAAACCGAUGUCUAAUACCCCUACCUUUCACAUCACAUGCGAAGACAUCAGUCCGGUUUUUAAUAGACAUCGGUUUUUAGCCGAUGUCUAAGCCCUUUUUUCUAGUAGUGU